GAUGAACGCUGGCGGCGUGCUUAACACAUGCAAGUCGAACGAAGCACCUUAUUUGUUUUUCUUCGGGUCUGAUCAUCUUGUGACUGAGUGGCGCAUGGGUGAGUAACGUGUGGGUAACCUGCCUCGUACAGGGGGAGAAGAGAAUGAAACGGCUGCUAAUACCCCAUAAGGUUACGGCGUCGCAUGAUGCAGUGCUAAAAAUUCCGGUGGGAUAAGAUGGACAUGAGUUGGUUUAUCAAGUUGCGAAGGUCACGGCCCACCAUGGCGACGAUCCAUAGACGAGAUGAGAGGGUGAGCGGCCACACUGGGACUAGGAAGCAGCCGAAACUCCUACGGGAGGCAGCAGUGGGGAAUAUUGCACCAUGGGCGAAGGGCUGAUGCACCGACGACGGGUGAGCGAAGAAGUAUUGGGGUAUGUAAAGCUCUAUCAGCAGGGAAGAUAAUGACGGUACCUAACUAGGAAGCACCGGCUAAAUACGUG
Molecule: ribosomal RNA, 481 nt
Filed under: uncultured bacterium
Lineage: Bacteria
Description: partial 16S ribosomal RNA
Rfam family: Bacterial small subunit ribosomal RNA
Source: RNAcentral